GAACGGUAACAUUUGUAGCAAUACGAAUGCUAGAGUGGCGCAAGGGUGCGUAACACGUAUGCAAUCUGCCCUUAACAGGAGGAUAGCUCGGGGAAACUCGGAUUAAUACUCCAUGCGAUGUUUGAGAGGCAUCUUUCGAACAUGAAAGCUGAGGCAGUUAAGGAUGAGCAUGCGGAUGAUUAGCUAGUUGGUAGUGUAACGGACUACCAAGGCGAUGAUCAAUAGGGGAACUGAGAGGUUGAUCCCCCACACUGGCACUGAGAUACGGGCCAGACUCCUACGGGAGGCAGCAGUAGGGAAUAUUGGACAAUGGGUGAGAGCCUGAUCCAGCCAUGCCGCGUGCAGGAAGAAAGCCUUCUGGGUUGUAAACUGCUUUUACCUGGGGAUAAAACCCUCGUGCGCGAGGGAUUGAAGGUACCGGGAGAAUAAGCCACGGCUAACUACGUG
Molecule: ribosomal RNA, 447 nt
Filed under: uncultured bacterium
Lineage: Bacteria
Description: bacterial SSU rRNA
Rfam family: Bacterial small subunit ribosomal RNA
Source: RNAcentral